Chloebia gouldiae (Gouldian finch) is the source of this 1841-nucleotide long non-coding RNA. NCBI's taxonomy places the organism in Eukaryota, Metazoa, Chordata, Aves, Passeriformes, Passeridae. The record is from Ensembl.
GUCCCGGGCCGUGUCCCCGUGCGGGACCGGGCCGUGUCCUGUUGCGGGCCCGGGAUGGGCAGGAGCGGAGCCCCCGCUGCUCCCGGCUCUCCGGAGCAGUUGGAGGUGGUCGCUCACUGUGACAUUUCUUCCCUCACCAUCAGGAGUUUUAGGUAAAUCAAACACUGGGGACACUUGGAGUGAGGGCACUUCUGGGCACAAUCAAGUUCCACUUUAGCUCUAAAUGAGCUUUUGAUUUGUUUUGUGCCCCUGAGCUGGCUCUGCCCCCAGCCGUGCCGCUCCCUGCGCUAACCUGUUUAUGAUCUCUGGCAGUACGGUGGUGCUUGAGUGGAGGCUGUUGAGGGAGUUCCACGGCAGCGGUGCCCAGACACGUUUAUGCUCUGCUACAUUGGCCGUAGCGUGCGCAGAGGCACGUGUGGCUACUGGCACGGGACAGAUCUGUCACCAGAGCCAACACAAGGCUCUUCUGGGCACUUCAGACAAGUGCCACUGGCUCUGGCUUCAGCAGCCCGCCUCUGUGUGCUCAGAAGCAUCUUUGCCCACGCUCAUCCCCUGGAUACCACGGAGAACCAGGAUAUCGGGAGUCCUUUCAUUCAGUCCAUAAACACAUCUCAGUUCUUUGCCUCCCGUGUCUUUCUGCGCUGACACCAGGAGUUGGAAACCAUCGGGAACCUGCAUGUUUCUAUCCAAUAAUGUUUGUUUCUGAAGGGCAGAAUGAAAAAGAAACAGUUGGUACAAUUCAACAGCUCUAAGUGGACUGUAAUCCCAGCACGGUCAAGAUGGUGAUACAUGGAAAUCUCAGAAUCCAGAUCUUUUCUGCAGCACAUGUUCCUGUCCCUCUAAAAUCACAUCUGUGGCUCCUUCCACAUGCCUCACAGCAUGUGGACUGCUGGUGGUGCACAGUCAGCCAGCAUUGCCACCAACAAGUGCUCCUCAGGGAAAAAUACACCUGUACAGGAGCAGAAUGAAAGGAUCUCUGAGGCCAGAGCAGAAAAUUAGUGCCACUAACAACUCAUGUGGAUUGCAAAGCUUUAGUAUCAAAUCCAGGCUGAAGAUUACUUGUUUGUUUGCCUUGCAUGCCACAUGCAUAAUUCCUCUUUGGAAUUGUGUUUACAGUAAUAGAUGGCCCUGGAGAGAUGUAAUUCAUGUGAUAAUGCCGACAUCAGAAAUCUCCAGGUGCAGCUGGAAUGAUUUAUAUUGGCCUCUUUAUAGAACCAAGCCCCAUGAAUUAUUUACAAUUUUCUGAGAAAAAUAGAUUUAGUAUGUCUUAGGGCUGGCAGUUCUCCAUGGGAGCUGCGCUCCGUCCGCCUGUGCAGCACAGGAGCAGUGGGAGCAGGAGGAUGCAGCAGCUCCUGCGAGUGGUGCACGCAGGAGCAGCAGCUGCCCUGCUGGGGCAGGGGCUGGCUGGCACCUGGGCACGGGGGCAAUGUGAGGCUGGGCCAGAUCUCCAGUGGCUGCCUCACCGCUUCCCUGGAAAUUCCAGGCACCCCUGUACAAAAGCGUUACCUGAACGUUGCCCUGUGUUUCACAAGGAGUCUUCAGAAAGUGCCGGUAAAACACCUGGUGAAACACUCACCUGGUGAAAGCUCUGCCAUCCCCACUCCUUGCAGCCAUUCUACACUGCCAAAGCUCAGCCAUUUCCAGUAUUUGUGGCUGUUCUUUGUUUCGCUGCUGGACUUAACUGUACCAGCUCUUACCCAAAUAUUGGAGAGAUGCUACUUAGAAGGUCACUGUAACAUGCCAGUAGAGAGACUUUACCCUGUAAAUCCCUCACACUUUUAAUAAUCUACUGACAGCAGACACAAAGAGAAUCCAAAUAAACCAUGAUCUUCCCAAAUACA